UGGUGCGCACGAACAACUGUCUUUCCACCCUUCUUGACGAGGUACCGCAUCUUCUGAGGCGCAUUGGAUGCGCUGGUCGCACCAGAGGCGGCGGGAGUGGCGGAAGAGGCAGGCUUUGCGGGCUCGGGUUCUGAAGCUGGACACAGCAGUUUCGACGCACCUCGCCUCGCUCGUUGAUCGUC
RNAcentral lists this unclassified non-coding RNA (182 nucleotides) under Rhodotorula toruloides. Lineage: Eukaryota; Fungi; Basidiomycota; Microbotryomycetes; Sporidiobolales; Sporidiobolaceae. The record is from RNAcentral.